Molecule: long non-coding RNA, 593 nt
Organism: Astatotilapia calliptera (eastern happy)
Lineage: Eukaryota; Metazoa; Chordata; Actinopteri; Cichliformes; Cichlidae
Source: Ensembl
CAAGCCAGAGCAAUCAGCACCAGAUCGAGUCGAGUGGCUCUCAGCCAAUUAAAUUACGCUGUUUGAUCACAUGACACCGUUAGCCAGCAGUGUGUCUCCUAAAAGAGAGCUGUUUAAAGGUGAGUGAUUAAGUUUUUCUCCUAAAUAGAGAUCAUUACAGAACGCCUAGUCCUACUUAAAAUCCCAUUUAUUAUUAUUUUUUUUUUUAUCAUCUACUCGAACUAAGGAAAACGUUUGACUAACUCAAAGACAAUUUCCACGCCUCCCCUGCCUGACUGCAGAGGCAGUUUUGAAUUUAGGAGCGCCAAGAUGGCAGCGGCAAACCCUGGCGGCUCUCCGGUGGAAAAGACCCGUCACCUUCUGGGAGAGGCGGCUCCCGUGGGAACAGCUCCCACCACCAAGUCCCUGAGUGAGUCUCUGUCCCCCAGCGUGAGCUCCAGCACUCUGUCCACGUCCACCUCCGCCUCCUCGCAGAUCUCCAGCACCACCUUUGAAAGCGUGAGAAGGAGCUGGCCACCAAGUGCCUGCGCCUUCUGACACACACCUUCAAUACUGAAUACAACCAGCUGGUGAACAGCAUCAGUGACUGCAAG